AGAGUUUGAUCAUGGCUCAGAUUGAACGCUGGCGGCGUGCCUAACACAUGCAAGUCGAGCGGUAACAGGCGUAGCAAUACGUGCUGACGAGCGGCGAACGGGUGAGUAAUGCUUCGGAAUCUACCCAGUAGUGGGGAAUAACCAGCCGAAAGGUUGGCUAAUACCGCAUACGUCCUACGGGAGAAAGCGGGGGAUCGUAAGACCUCGCGCUAGUGGAUGAGCCGAAGCCGGAUUAGCUAGUUGGUAGGGUAACGGCCUACCAAGGCGACGAUCCGUAGCUGGUCUGAGAGGACGACCAGCCACACUGGGACUGAGACACGGCCCAGACUCCUACGGGAGGCAGCAGUGGGGAAUAUUGGACAAUGGGGGAAACCCUGAUCCAGCGACGCCGCGUGUGUGAAGAAGGCCUGCGGGUUGUAAAGCACUUUUAGUGGGGAUGAAAAGCCUUGGGAUAAUACUCCAGGGUCUUGACCUAACCCACAGAAAAAGCACCGGCUAACUCUGUGCCAGCCGCCGCGGUAAUAC
Molecule: ribosomal RNA, 525 nt
Filed under: uncultured bacterium
Lineage: Bacteria
Description: bacterial SSU rRNA
Rfam family: Bacterial small subunit ribosomal RNA
Source: RNAcentral